Molecule: ribosomal RNA, 301 nt
Filed under: uncultured bacterium
Lineage: Bacteria
Description: partial 16S ribosomal RNA
Rfam family: Bacterial small subunit ribosomal RNA
Source: RNAcentral
CAGUAGCCGCGGUAACACGGAGGGUGCAAGCGUUAUCCGGAUUCACUGGGUUUAAAGGGUGCGUAGGCGGAUCUGUAAGUCAGUGGUGAAAUCUCCAGGCUUAACCUGGAAACUGCCGUUGAUACUAUAGGUCUUGAAUUUUGUGGAGGUUAGCGGAAUAUGUCAUGUAGCGGUGAAAUGCAUAGAUAUGCCACAGAACACCGAUUGCGAAGGCAGCUUACCAAGGCAAAAUUGACGCUGAGGCACGAAAGCGUGGGGAUCGAACAGGAUUAGAUACCCCUGUAGUCCCUGUCUCUUAUAC